This 403-nucleotide ribosomal RNA is filed under the name uncultured bacterium. RNAcentral describes it as "partial 16S ribosomal RNA". It matches the Rfam family "Bacterial small subunit ribosomal RNA", at positions 28 to 526 of the family's 1533-position model. The record is from RNAcentral.
GACGAACGCUGGCGGCGUGCCUAAUACAUGCAAGUAGAACGCAGUGGGGACGGGUGAGUAACACGUGGGUAACCUCCCAUCAGAGGGGAUAACACUUGGAAACAGGUGCUAAACCGAUACUGAUGGAUGGACCCGCGGUGCAUUAGCUAGUUGGUGAGGUAACGGCGCACCAAGGCCACGAUGCAUAGCCGACCUGAGGGGGUGAUCGGCCCCACUGUGACGGAGACACGGCCCAGACUCCUACGGGAGUCAGCAGUAGUGAAUCUUCUGCAAUGGACGAAAGUCUGACCGAGCAAUGCCGCGUUAGUGAAGAAGGUUUUCGGAUCGUAAAACUCUGUUGUUAGAGAAGCGGUAUCUAACCAGAAAGCCACGGCUAACUACGUGCCAGCCGCCGCGGUAAUAC